GAAAUUGAAAUCGCUGUGAAGAUGCAGUGUACCCGCGGCUAGACGGAAAGACCCCGUGAACCUUUACUACAGCUUGGCACUGAACAUUGACCCUACAUGUGUAGGAUAGGUGGGAGGCUUUGAAGCAGGUACGCCAGUAUCUGUGGAGCCGUCCUUGAAAUACCACCCUUGUAGUGUUGAUGUUCUAACGUCGACCCCUAAUCGGGGUUGCGGACAGUGCCUGGUGGGUAGUUUGACUGGGGCGGUCUCCUCCCAAAGAGUAACGGAGGAGCACGAAGGUGGGCUAAUCACGGUUGGACAUCGUGAGGUUAGUGCAAUGGCAUAAGC
Molecule: ribosomal RNA, 327 nt
Filed under: Vibrio parahaemolyticus
Lineage: Bacteria; Pseudomonadati; Pseudomonadota; Gammaproteobacteria; Vibrionales; Vibrionaceae
Description: partial 23S ribosomal RNA
Rfam family: Bacterial large subunit ribosomal RNA
Source: RNAcentral